UGGGGGAUAUUGCACAAUGGGGGAAACCCUGAUGCAGCAACGCCGCGUGAGGGAUGAAGGUUUUCGGAUUGUAAACCUCUGUCCUUAGGGAAGAAACAAAUGACGGUACCUAAGGAGGAAGCUCCGGCUAACUACGUGCCAGCAGCCGCGGUAAUACGUAGGGAGCGAGCGUUGUCCGGAAUUAUUGGGUGUAAAGGGUGCGUAGGCGGCUAUGUAAGUUAGACGUGUAAUUCAGAGGCUUAACCUCUUGAAUGCGUUUAAAACUGUGUAGCUUGAGUGGAGUAGAGGCAGAUGGAAUUUCCAGUGUAGCGGUGAAAUGCGUAGAUAUUGGAAGGAACACCGGUGGCGAAGGCGAUCUGCUGGGCUCUAACUGACGCUGAGGCACGAAAGCAUGGGGAGCAAACAGG
RNAcentral lists this ribosomal RNA (407 nucleotides) under uncultured prokaryote. Its description in RNAcentral is "bacterial SSU rRNA". It matches the Rfam family "Bacterial small subunit ribosomal RNA", at positions 355 to 776 of the family's 1533-position model. RNAcentral also lists the same sequence under 1 other name. The record is from RNAcentral.